AGCGAACGUUAGCGGCGCGCCUAACACAUGCAAGUCGCACGAGAAAGGGCUUCGGCCCCAGUAAAGUGGCGCACGGGUGCGUAACACGUAGGCAAUCUUCCCUCGAGCGGGGGAUAACGUUUCGAAAGAGACGCUAAUACCGCAUAAGACCACGAGCUCCUCGGAGCUUGCGGUCAAAGCUGGCCUCUUCUUGAAAGCUAGCACUCGAGGACGAGCCUGCGGCCCAUCAGCUAGUUGGUAGGGUCACGGCCUACCAAGGCGAAGACGGGUAGCUGGUCUGAGAGGAUGAUCAGCCACACUGGAACUGAAACACGGUCCAGACUCCUACGGGAGGCAGCAGUGGGGAAUAUUGGACAAUGGGCGAAAGCCUGAUCCAGCGACGCCGCGUGAGUGAUGAAGGCCUUCGGGUUGUAAAGCUCUGUUGAGGGAGAAGAAAACGGUCACGGCGAACAGGCGUGGCCCUUGACGGUAUCCCUUUAGAAAGCACCGGCUAACUCUGUGCCAGCAGCCGCUGUAACAC
Molecule: ribosomal RNA, 520 nt
Filed under: uncultured bacterium
Lineage: Bacteria
Description: bacterial SSU rRNA
Rfam family: Bacterial small subunit ribosomal RNA
Source: RNAcentral